CCGGGUCCAAGCAACACAGUUAGCAAAAAGAUAUGGAGGCCCUUGUAGAUACUUUUCUUGGAAGGAAGUUCAAGACCUCCCGAUUCAAGAUUCUAGCAAAACUAGCAAUCUCUAGGGUUGCCAUCCUCAGGAACCAAAGACAAGUCCGGUAUUCCCAUGCAAAGUCUGAUGUUGUUGAGCUCUUGAACCUUGGCCAUCAAGAACAAGCUCUUCUUCGUGUUGAGCAUGUGAUCAAGGAGCAAAAUAUGAUGGAUACAUUUGCUAUGAUAGAGGACUAUUGCUACCUUCUUAUAGAUAGGGUUAUGCUCCUCAAGAAGGACAAGGAAUGUCAUGAUGACCUCAAGGAGGCGAUUUCAAGCUUGAUCUUUGCAUCUUCCAGAUGUGGGGAAUUUCCAGAACUGCAAAAAAUUCGUGCAAUUUUUGUUACAAGAUUCGGGAGAGAAUUUGCUGCUUGUGCUGUUGAGUUGCGCAACAACUGUGGAGUGAAUUCUAAGAUUAUACAAAAGCUUUCAACACGACGGCCAAGCUUGGAAAGUAGAUUGAAAGUCCUGAAGGACACUGCUUUUGAGAAUGGUAUCGUCCUGAAUUUGGUGGAAGAUGCUUCUCUUGUUGUUGAGGAGAAAUUGGAUGUCAACCAAAAGCAAAAGCAGCAAGAAUCUUAUAAAUCAGUUAAAUUGCAAGAUACUGAGCCUGAAGAUGAAACCCACGUUUUGCCUGAGGAGUUGAUCCCAGGUGAGCAGUUAUCUGCAUCAUUGAAAGCAAGAAAGAAGUAUAGAGAUGUAGCUGCUGCUGCUCUACAGGCCUUCGAAUCAGCAGCUUAUGCAGCAGCAGCUGCAAGAGCUGCUGUUGAACUCUCUAGAUCCAAAUCUCAGGACACUGAUCAAGAUUAUCACAGUGGUUGUAGCCAUGGGGGAACCAAACAUGAUCUAGAGGACAGAAAAAACUUGAAUAAUGCAUCGAUUUUUGAAAAAAUCCAUCCAAUUGACAACACUAGUUCAGAAUCAGAAGGUGAAGAUCAUCUCAAAGCUUUGUCAAGGAGCAAAAAUAAGCCUGGGCUAAUAGGCAGGACACCAUAUACUUUAAGUUCAGAUUCUAACAGAAACACUCCAUCACUAAAGCACCAGGACUUGGAUUCUUAUAUAAAGCCUAGUUUUCCCACAAAUGAGAUCCAAAAUAUUGGUCAGUACAAAGCAGAUGGCGAGGAAUAUAGUUCAGAUAAGGAUGGGAGUAAGACUCCAUACAGAUCCCCAAAGUGGAUUCUACGGAAGCCUUAAUCUGAUUCCAUGGUAAAUCCCAUGGAAGGAAUAUCUAAGUUGAAUGACACACAUAGGGCAAAUUUGGCAGAGCAAUUAAAUUCAAAGCACUCAAGACUAGACAGGAGGCCCCUAUCAAUGAGAACUAGGAAGUACAGGGGGACUGAAAAGUAGAAAUGAUGAGAAGUGCAAUUUAUUUUUUCUUGGUUUCUGAGGUUCAAUAUCAAACACAUUUCUUUAUUUAUAAAAAUAAUCAGAUGACAUGUAGUUGAAUAAUGAAAUAAAGAUUCAAAUUUUUCUACGCAGGUAUUAAACAUGGAUGCUGAAGUAGACAAAAAUAAAUAUAGACGUUUAUAAUAAUUAAUCUUAAGAAUGCAUAGCAUUGGUUUCAUAUUUAAACUGAUGUUUGAAGUUGUGUAUUAGUUCACUUCUAUUAACAUGUAUUUAUUGUACAUGUCCAAUCUCUUGAGGACCUAAAAAUGCAUUACAUACUUGAGCAUGGAGUCCUGUUCUAAAAU
Molecule: unclassified non-coding RNA, 1771 nt
Filed under: Hevea brasiliensis (rubber tree)
Lineage: Eukaryota; Viridiplantae; Streptophyta; Magnoliopsida; Malpighiales; Euphorbiaceae
Source: RNAcentral